ACGUCUGUUGUUGUUGCGACCGCGAUUUCGGCCACUGCCCCCGCCACCUCCUCCACCACUUCCACCGCCGUUGCCAGGACCGGAGUUGUUGAUGCCACGCCGGCGACGUUGGCCACCGCCACCGCGAUCCCGGUCGUUGAAACUUUCCGCGCCAUUGUUGCUAAAGCCAUUGGAUCCAUUGCCAUUGCCACCAGGAUUGCCAUUGUUCGACCAGGGUGCAUUGGAAGCCCAGGGAUUGGGCCUGCCACCGGAUUGGUCUCUCUCCCGUUCGCGAGCGCGCUCCCGCUCCCUGUCGCGAUCUCCUUCUCGUUCGCGAUCCCGAUCCCUUUGCUCCAGCGGCGGUUCAUCCACAAACUCCGUGUUGGGUUGCUGUGCUUUCGCCGCGACCAGUGACUGCAGAAAGGGCUUUUUACAUUGCAUUAGUUCUCGAACGCACACCAACUGGGCGUUAUGCUGACGUGGUUCGAAGCGGGACUUCUUGGUGGGCGGGGAGACCAUCUCCCCACGUGCCUCCACUGUGGGUGAUACAGAUCUGGACCUAUCCCUCACUGGGACUACAUCGUUGAGCUCCUCCAGCUUGCCAGCGUCGAUGUACUUGUUGAGAAACUCGGCUCCCUGACGAAUAGCAGCCAUCAGUCGAGAGUCCGGGUGAACGCGAAUGAACCGGUUGUACACGAGAACGCCGACAAUGGUCUGUGGAUCGAGGCCGUUGAGCAUGCCGCUGGCCAGGAUGCCCUCCAUUGUGUUCUCGCUGAUUUGCUGGUGGUUCAGUCCAUUGGUGGUGUCCUUGGCCUCUCGGGCGGCCAGCUCCUCGUGAAUGCUGAGCACGCUGGGAUCGUCCGCUCGCCGGGGUCCUGCCCAGUUCACCUGGAAAUUGCGGGGAAUGGGCUUGCUGUAGGGAACCUUUUUCUCCCGGUCGCGGUCAUUUAUUGCUUUGCUUGGAUCCAAAUCCAAGCCAGGAAUAAAGCCUUUGUCGGCAGUUAAACUUUCAGUAAACUCCACCCGGUCCUCGGGUCCCAUUCCGGGUAUAAUUGCAUCAUCUGUUGGGAGAAAAGGGUAUAUAAAAGCAUUGGUUUUGUAGGUCAAAAAAAGGGAUAACAGACCGUAUUCACACUCAUCCAGAGCAGCCAGGCUGGCGGGCAAUGUGUUCAGAUUGUAUUUGUCUCUCAUCAGGUCUCCCGGUCUGUUCCUCGUCCAGAAUUUGAUCGUAUGAUCAUUGGAGCCGGAGCACAGAAUGUGACCCAGUGGGUGCCAGGCCAGAGUCCAAACGAUGCUGUCGUGUGCCGUCUCCACACAGCCGAUCUCCUUGUCGGUACUGCGAGCGGGGAUUGUCAUUAAUCCACUUAUCUUUUAAAGUGUAAACAGAAUGCUAAGACCCACCCAACAUUCCAAAACAAAAUGGAGCCAUCGGAGCCGCCGGAGCAGAAGAGGCCUUCGUGUAUGGGAUGCCAGGAUACGGAGCUGGCCUCCUUCUUGUGGCCACGGAAGACCUGAACCUCCUCACGCAGGUUGCGAAUGUCGAAGAGCUUGAGCAGAUGAUCUCUGGAUGCGGUUACCAGCCAGUUGCCAUUGUCGUUCCACUUCAGAUCCAUCACGGUGGAUUUGUGGGCGUGUCUAUUGAUGAUUGAAAAAAUGUGAGUAUGUGCAGUAGAAUCCAUGAUAAAGAUUCAUCCAAAAAGAAAUACUCACAGAGUAGCCAGGGCAAUGCCGCUCUUGGGAUCCCAAAUCUUGAUGGGUUGCUGGUUGUCCUUGCUUCCGCUGACGAUCAUUCCCUUUUGUGGAUGCCAGUGCACGCACUUGACGUCAGCACCGUGGCCUUUUUGAGAUACAUGGUUAGACUCUGUAUUGGGACUACCUCCUACUAAAUCUCACCUCGUAGCACUCGCUCCUCCUGGCACCGCAUGAAGUCCCAUAUCCUCAGGGUUCCGUCGUCGCUGCCGCUGACGAACUUGCUGUCCGUGGGACUGAAACUGAGUUUGGUGGAUUGCAUUGGAGAACGUUAGAACGUAACAAAACACGGGUUAAAUGAUGAUAAUGAGUGUGGGCGGAGUUAGUUUGAUGAAUUGAUUGAUUAAACUUUAAAUUCAGGAUCAAGUUUUACUUGACUAGGUACGCGAAGCUCACAAUAAUAU
This is a non-coding RNA of Drosophila melanogaster (fruit fly), 2132 nucleotides long. Lineage: Eukaryota; Metazoa; Arthropoda; Insecta; Diptera; Drosophilidae. The record is from Ensembl.